Molecule: ribosomal RNA, 486 nt
Filed under: uncultured bacterium
Lineage: Bacteria
Description: bacterial SSU rRNA
Rfam family: Bacterial small subunit ribosomal RNA
Source: RNAcentral
GCAAGUCGAGCGGACCGAAGGGAGCUUGCUCUUUUAGGUUAGCGGCGGACGGGUGAGUAACACGUGGGCAACCUGCCCUGCAGACUGGGAUAACUUCGGGAAACCGGAGCUAAUACCGGAUAACACCGAAAACCGCAUGGUUUUCGGUUGAAAGGCGGCUUUUAGCUGUCACUGCAGGAUGGGCCCGCGGCGCAUUAGCUAGUUGGUGAGGUAACGGCUCACCAAGGCGACGAUGCGUAGCCGACCUGAGAGGGUGACCGGCCACACUGGGACUGAGACACGGCCCAGACUCCUACGGGAGGCAGCAGUAGGGAAUCUUCCGCAAUGGACGAAAGUCUGACGGAGCAACGCCGCGUGAGCGAAGAAGGUCUUCGGAUCGUAAAGCUCUGUUGUCAGGGAAGAACAAGUACCGUUCGAACAGGGCGGUACCUUGACGGUACCUGACGAGGAAGCCACGGCUAACUACGUGCCAGCAGCCGCGGUAAU